RNAcentral lists this non-coding RNA (104 nucleotides) under Foraminifera environmental sample. Lineage: Eukaryota; Foraminifera. The record is from RNAcentral.
GCAAAUCAUUCAAGACGGCGACGGAACGUGUUCCUUCCUCAUGUGCGCGUUGAAGGCGUGGUGCUAUCAUUAUCCAUUCCGCUUCAAGCCAGACCAUAUCUGGU